AGAGUUUGAUCAUGGCUCAGAUUGAACGCUGGCGGCAUGCCUUACACAUGCAAGUCGAACGGCAGCGCGGGGCAACCUGGCGGCGAGUGGCGAACGGGUGAGUAAUAUAUCGGAACGUACCCUGGAGUGGGGGAUAACGUAGCGAAAGUUACGCUAAUACCGCAUACGAUCUGAGGAUGAAAGUGGGGGAUCGCAAGACCUCAUGCUCCUGGAGCGGCCGAUAUCUGAUUAGCUAGUUGGUGGGGUAAAGGCCUACCAAGGCAUCGAUCAGUAGCUGGUCUAAGAGGACGACCAGCCACACUGGAACUGAGACACGGUCCAGACUCCUACGGGAGGCAGCAGUGGGGAAUUUUGGACAAUGGGCGAAAGCCUGAUCCAGCAAUGCCGCGUGAGUGAAGAAGGCCUUCGGGUUGUAAAGCUCUUUUGUCAGGGAAGAAACGGUGAGGGCUAAUAUCCCUUGCUAAUGACGGUACCUGAAGAAUAAGCACCGGCUAACUACGUGCCAGCAGCCGCGGUAAUACGUAGGGUGCAAGCGUUAAUCGGAAUUACUGGGCGUAAAGCGUGCGCAGGCGGUUUUGUAAGUCUGUCGUGAAAUCCCCGGGCUCAACCUGGGAAUUGCGAUGGAGACUGCAAGGCUAGAAUCUGGCAGAGGGGGGUAGAAUUCCACGUGUAGCGGUGAAAUGCGUAGAGAUGUGGAGGAACACCGAUGGCGAAGGCAGCCCCCUGGGUCAAGAUUGACGCUCAUGCACGAAAGCGUGGGGAGCAAACAGGAUUAGAUACCCUGGUAGUCCACGCCCUAAACGAUGUCUACUAGUUGUCGGGUUUUAAUUAACUUGGUAACGCAGCUAACGCGUGAAGUAGACCGCCU
Molecule: ribosomal RNA, 868 nt
Filed under: uncultured bacterium
Lineage: Bacteria
Description: bacterial SSU rRNA
Rfam family: Bacterial small subunit ribosomal RNA
Source: RNAcentral